This 2312-nucleotide long non-coding RNA is filed under the name Sus scrofa (pig). Its description in RNAcentral is "lncRNA (ENSSSCG00050069992.1)". The record is from RNAcentral. Lineage: Eukaryota; Metazoa; Chordata; Mammalia; Artiodactyla; Suidae.
AGGCCUGAUCCUGUUCAUAUCAGGAUCCUUUAAAUUUAGACACCUCAGAUAGCAGCUGUUUUUAGGCUUAUGCAGCUCAUGAGUGUGAAACAUUUUCAGAGGAAACUGAUAUUUGAUGACUAUACUGCUUUGUUGUUGACUUCUUUUUGUCAUAAUUUUCCCAGUUUUAGAUCUGAUGUAAAGAUUAUAGAGGUGAGUCAAAAUUUAAAUCUUCGUAAUCUGUGUAUCUGUAGAUUCAGUAUCAUUGAUGACCUGUAGUUUCAUGGUUAGGAAAGGAUUAUUUUAUGUCUCACGUAAAGAAUUUGCAAUGAUGAUAGGACAAUUAAGAAUUAUAAUGGUGGCUAACAAAUGGUCCAAGUUGUCCUACUUGUGCAUCCAGUGUACAUGUAUGAGUCUUUUUGGUUGUCAAUAAUACGGAUGGUGGAAUUGGGUCAUUUCUGGUCUGUCCUUGUGGGAGCUGGGGCUGCAAUGCAAGAAGCUCCCAGCUGACUUCUGGGUCCUGACCAUCAUGUGGCCAGAUAAAUUGGUAACUUUUUUGUUUUGCAUGUUAAAAUGUUUUAAUGACAAACAUUUUGUGCAGUUUACUGAUAGAGGUGAAAUGUGGAGCCUGUUGUUGAUUAUUUCUUCAAGAAGUGAACAUCCUACUUCCUGCCAAGUGUAAGCCCCUGUCCAGAGGUGAGAGACCCCACAUGUGACCUGUGCCUCCGAGGAGAGCAGCCCUAAACUAGUUUAAACCUGACUGAGUUCUGUUGACAUGGUAAAUUUAGACCUUUCCACGCCCUGUUUACUGCAUAUGUUUAGUCCUGACCAGGUUCUGUCCACACUAGGACCUGCUAGAGACCCAGCCUCAGUCCUAAGAGCUUUUCAGGAGACAUGGAGUCCUGAGUAGAGGCCCAGACAGGUCUCAGUCCUGGGAAGCUCUAUGCUUCUGUCUGUGUUUAGAUGUCAGAUCCAAAGCUGAGGUAGGCUUGUCUGGCCACAACCUCUGCUCUGAGUGUGGUUCCCUGCCUUCCAGGGUUCAUUGCAUUGGGAAGGGUCUUAGUCCUGGGGCUGGUAGAGGCUCCUCAGGUGAACUACCUCAUUAUUAAACCAGUUCAACAGGGAGUUCCUGCUCUGGUGCAGUGGGUUAAGAAUCUGACUUCAUCAGCUCUAGUUCACGCAGAGGUACACCUUCAACACCUGGCCUGGCUCAGAGGGUUAAAGGAUCCAGCAUUGCUGCAGCUGCAGCAUAGGUCUAAGCUGCAGCUCAUAUUCAAUCCCUGGCCCAGAAACUUCCAUAUGCUGUGGGUAUAGCCAUUAAAUAAAUAAAUGAUGAACUAAUUCACCAGGAUGCACAAGGUGAAGAGGGAGGCAGUUUUGCCUGGUGAAUUGAUUGCUGAACCAGCAGCAGGGGAAGUUGCCUCUGGGGUCUCCUUCUGGCUGCCCAUUCCUACUCAACAGAAUCCAGACCUGACCUCCUCUUUCAUCCCUGCUUUCUCAUGAGUUUUCUGCAAGGCAGGAAAUGGCCUAGCCUGCCAUAACAAAAGUAGUGUGUUCAACUUUAGUACAUAAGGUUAGAAACAAUUAAAAUAACCCAGAACCAAAGUAAAAAGUGGUGGGAACUGACUUCUCUGGGACAAGCGCUGGGGGAAGAGACAGACCCCACACUUCUUUCACAGCCCUAGCAGGUCCCAGGGACUUGGCUCAUUCCCAUGUUGGGUGCCCACCCAGCACAGCUCUGGAUUCGCCCCACGUCUCAGCUGUCUCCCUCUGUCCCAUCUUGAACACAAUAAAAUGAUGUCUGCUGAUCAUUGUUCGCAACAUAGGCCUAGUCGCUAUCAGGGCCCUUUAAUUUAGGCAUCCUGGUAUAGCAGCUGUUUUUAGGCCUAAAGAGGGAAGAGUUUAUGAGUGUAAAACAUUUUCAGAGGAAAUUAAUAUUUGAUGACUAUGCUACAUGAUUGUUGACUUCUGUUAGUCAUACUUCAGAUUUUAGAUCUAAUGUGGGGUUACAGAGGAGUCAAAAUUUAAGUCUUUAUAAUCUGUAUUCAUAGCUUCAGUAUCACUGAUGAACUGUAGUUUUUAUGUUUAGGGAAGGGUUAUUGAUUUCAUGUCUCAUGUACAGGACUCACAAUGAUAAUAGGGCAAUUAAGAUUACAAUGGUGGGAAUUCUCACUGUGGCACAACAGGAUCAGUGGCAUCUCUGCAGCACAGGUUCAAUUUCCCUGCCCAGCACAGUGGGUUAAAGGAUCCAGUGUUGCCACAGUGUGGUGUAGCUUGCAAUUGUGGCUUGAAUUUGAUCCCUGGCCCGGGAACUGCUUAUGCCAUGGGGUGGC